UAUGUUAGUUUAGCAUAAACGUGGUACGGAUACUGGAUGGGGCGAGUGUGCAAGGGAGUUGUCGGUCGGUUUGAGGAGGAGAGAGAGGCAGUAGAGUCUAGGUCGGCGGGGAAGGUAGAGGAGAAGGUGUUGGCCGGUGGCAGGGCUAGACUUCCAGAGGCUGGUCUAGUCGGAGGAGGGGUGGUGCCGCACGCCGCUCCUCAGGGGCCUAGCGAGCGGCAGUGGGUCACGCCACGUCUAGACCAUCAGGCGGGAGUGGUUCGUAAGCUACGCAACUGCCGAGGAUCGUGGUCUAUGGCGCUGCUUGCUCGACACAAGACGGAGGAGGCCGACGGCUCCUGGUGCCUGCGGUGAAGCAGAGUGGCCGACCGAGUCGUAGUCGUGGCUGGUGAUGAGUGUCCACACGUUUUAACAACGAUGCAGUACCUAGAUCAUCGUGUACCUAGAUAGUGAAAACGAGAACCAGAACACAAGAGGUCACGCACUACUUAAACUACUACUACUUUACCUCCGACCUGCUGCAGACGGUGUGCUCAAUUGUACGGUCCGAGGACUGAAUGAAAUCAAGUACAGAAGUACUGGUCGUUCAACAGGACCAAGGACGUAUCUAACAUUAAAACAUCCGUCUUAACAUGUUCUUGAAAAGCCUACAGGGUGAGUAUGAAACGUCUUAAAACUGCUUCCUGAACAUACAAAAUUGUCUUGAGACAAAAUGUCUCAUCUGUGAGACUUAUUUAACGAUUGCUUG
This 748-nucleotide ribosomal RNA is filed under the name Triticum aestivum (bread wheat). RNAcentral's name for it is "partial small subunit ribosomal RNA". The record is from RNAcentral. Lineage: Eukaryota; Viridiplantae; Streptophyta; Magnoliopsida; Poales; Poaceae.